AUCAACAGCAAUGCAGAAAAAAGUGCCAAAAACAAACACUGCGGAGAAGACAAUCCCUUCAGUAAACAUUACCAGGAAAAUUAGAUGGCCGACAGAGAUGGAAGAAGCUACCACUUACGCCUGACCCCACCGAUGGAAGCUACUGUCACUACCAUGUCUCCAUGCCUUGCCAUGAAUCUCUAAGCCAGACUAAGUCCUUCCCUAAGUUGCUUCUAUCAGGUUUUAUGUUAUAGACAGAAGAAAAGUAACGAAUGCAAAGACUAACCACCCCGUAGUACCACCAACAUCUCCAUGAGAAACUGUCUGUGAGGGAUUUUAAAAGCUCUCUUCAACUUUUCUGUGCAUAGAACUGUGAGACCAAUUUGGAUCAGGUUACUUAUUGUUUUUAACAUAUUUU
Long non-coding RNA from Mastomys coucha (southern multimammate mouse), 397 nucleotides. RefSeq lists it as uncharacterized. The record is from RefSeq and is a predicted model, not a curated record. The transcript is spliced from 3 exons. Lineage: Eukaryota; Metazoa; Chordata; Mammalia; Rodentia; Muridae.